Molecule: unclassified non-coding RNA, 431 nt
Filed under: soil metagenome
Description: partial contains 5.8S ribosomal RNA, internal transcribed spacer 2, and large subunit ribosomal RNA
Rfam family: 5.8S ribosomal RNA (bases 1-120)
Source: RNAcentral
GAUGAAGAACGUAGCGAAAUGCGAUACGUAAUGUGAAUUGCAGAAUUCAGUGAAUCAUCGAAUCUUUGAACGCAUAUUGCGCUCUCUGGUAUUCCGGAGAGCAUGCUCGUUUGAGUAUCAGUAAACACCUCAACUUCCAUAUCUUUUUUGAAAUGGGAGUUGGACUUGAGUGAUCCCAACGCUUUUCCUCACCGAAAAGUGGCGGGUUACUUGAAAUGCAGGUGCAGCUGGACUUUUCUCUGAGCUAUAAGCAUAUCUAUUUAGUCUGCCUAAAAAACAGAUUAUUACCUUUGCUGCAGCUAACAUAAAGGAGAUUAGUUCUUGUGCUGACUGAUGCAGGAUUCACAAAGACAGCUUCGGCCGACUUUGUAAACUCGAUCUCAAAUCAAGUAAGACUACCCGCUGAACUUAAGCAUAUCAAAAGCGGAGGA